This is a long non-coding RNA of Homo sapiens (human), 991 nucleotides long. Ensembl annotates it as glioblastoma down-regulated RNA. Its record names the gene GLIDR. NCBI's taxonomy places the organism in Eukaryota, Metazoa, Chordata, Mammalia, Primates, Hominidae. The record is from Ensembl.
CUCUCUAACUCCUCCCACUGAGAUGACCCAUAGUACCCCAUUCCUUGCUGCAAUGUAAUUAUAUUUAAUUACAAGUGUGCCCCUGGUAGUCUUUAACUGAAGGGCACUGACUGGGUCACUGGUGAAGUUCCCCGCAGGAACUGAGUCAGACCCCAUCUCAGGGCCCUGCACAAGAUAGGUGCCUGCUCUAAGGCGUGGACCCUCGCCACAGCCCUGGCCCGUCUUGACGGGCGAGGGUUACUGUACUUGUCCCAACCGUACAGAUGAGAAAGCUGAGACUCAGGGCCAGCAACCCGGGUCCCAGCGGAGCGCCCGGCACACGCCGACACUUCAGCACCAGUGGCGGUGGCCACCACUGUGGGCGGAGAUGGCUGCGACGCGUGCGCAGAUCUCGAUCCCAAACUCCCUCCUGCCAGAAUCUGGACCCGAAUCCACCCAUUGCCCGUUUUCCGCUGCCGCUGGAGAGAAUCUCUGAGGUCCCCAGGAGAGCCUGCCUGCACGGAAGAGACGCCUCCUCGGCAGCAGUAGGGCUUAUGGGAGCCAUUGUACAGUGACAGGAACAUACCAGGACACUGAGAAUAGCGUCAUGUCAUAAGGACUCAGAGCAGGUGGACCCUGCUGUGAUGCACAAAGGUGAGGGUGCAGCUGCCCAGGACACACUCAUGCAUGUUUGUGUGGACCAUGGAAGAUGGCAGGGGAAGAGCUGUCAGGUUGCUGGGGCAGAGGGUGCGCAUGAGUACUCGCCUAGGACCAUGCAAGAUAUGAUAAAGAUCUAUGUCACUGAAUUUUGUUUCUGUAUUUGUAUCUCAGCUUCCCAGAAAUAAAAAAGAAUUCUAACAUUCAUACUUUCAGUAUUUUAUGUGAGAGGUUUUGUUGUCAAAAUCAAGUCUGAGAGCAAUGUUUAUUGGGGCCUUUCAUUGGAGUCACCAAGCAAUAAAGGGGACAUUGUCUUCAACAAUAACCCUAUAAUAAACACGUUUUGGACAAUAAA